This 325-nucleotide ribosomal RNA is filed under the name uncultured eukaryote. RNAcentral's name for it is "partial 18S ribosomal RNA". It matches the Rfam family "Eukaryotic small subunit ribosomal RNA", at positions 1470 to 1796 of the family's 1831-position model. The record is from RNAcentral.
CCCUUAGAUGUUCUGGGCCGCACGCGCGCUACACUGAUGCAUUCAACGACCCUAUCCUUGACCGACAGGUCCGGGUAAUCUUUGAAUCUGCAUCGUGACGGGGAUAGAUUAUUGCAAUUAUUAAUCUUCAACGAGGAAUGCCUAGUAGGCGCAAGUCAUCAGCUUGCGUCGAUUACGUCCCUGCCCUUUGUACACACCGCCCGUCGCUCCUACCGAUUGGGUGUGCUGGUGAAAUGUUCGGAUCGGCCGUUUGUCGCGGUUUCCGCGUCAUGUGGCUGAGAAGUUCAUUAAACCCUCCCACCUAGAGGAAGGAGAAGUCGUAACA